This 1067-nucleotide ribosomal RNA is filed under the name Lactobacillus johnsonii. Its description in RNAcentral is "bacterial SSU rRNA". It matches the Rfam family "Bacterial small subunit ribosomal RNA", at positions 1 to 1027 of the family's 1533-position model. Lineage: Bacteria; Bacillati; Bacillota; Bacilli; Lactobacillales; Lactobacillaceae. The record is from RNAcentral.
GAAAAUGAGAGUUUGAUCCUGGCUCAGGACGAACGCUGGCGGCGUGCCUAAUACAUGCAAGUCGAGCGAGCUUGCCUAGAUGAUUUUAGUGCUUGCACUAAAUGAAACUAGAUACAAGCGAGCGGCGGACGGGUGAGUAACACGUGGGUAACCUGCCCAAGAGACUGGGAUAACACCUGGAAACAGAUGCUAAUACCGGAUAACAACACUAGACGCAUGUCUAGAGUUUGAAAGAUGGUUCUGCUAUCACUCUUGGAUGGACCUGCGGUGCAUUAGCUAGUUGGUAAGGUAACGGCUUACCAAGGCAAUGAUGCAUAGCCGAGUUGAGAGACUGAUCGGCCACAUUGGGACUGAGACACGGCCCAAACUCCUACGGGAGGCAGCAGUAGGGAAUCUUCCACAAUGGACGAAAGUCUGAUGGAGCAACGCCGCGUGAGUGAAGAAGGGUUUCGGCUCGUAAAGCUCUGUUGGUAGUGAAGAAAGAUAGAGGUAGUAACUGGCCUUUAUUUGACGGUAAUUACUUAGAAAGUCACGGCUAACUACGUGCCAGCAGCCGCGGUAAUACGUAGGUGGCAAGCGUUGUCCGGAUUUAUUGGGCGUAAAGCGAGUGCAGGCGGUUCAAUAAGUCUGAUGUGAAAGCCUUCGGCUCAACCGGAGAAUUGCAUCAGAAACUGUUGAACUUGAGUGCAGAAGAGGAGAGUGGAACUCCAUGUGUAGCGGUGGAAUGCGUAGAUAUAUGGAAGAACACCAGUGGCGAAGGCGGCUCUCUGGUCUGCAACUGACGCUGAGGCUCGAAAGCAUGGGUAGCGAACAGGAUUAGAUACCCUGGUAGUCCAUGCCGUAAACGAUGAGUGCUAAGUGUUGGGAGGUUUCCGCCUCUCAGUGCUGCAGCUAACGCAUUAAGCACUCCGCCUGGGGAGUACGACCGCAAGGUUGAAACUCAAAGGAAUUGACGGGGGCCCGCACAAGCGGUGGAGCAUGUGGUUUAAUUCGAAGCAACGCGAAGAACCUUACCAGGUCUUGACAUCCAGUGCAAACCUAAGAGAUUAGGUGUUCCCUUCGGGGAC